Long non-coding RNA from Lolium rigidum, 565 nucleotides. RefSeq lists it as uncharacterized. The record is from RefSeq and is a predicted model, not a curated record. The transcript has 3 exons. NCBI's taxonomy places the organism in Eukaryota, Viridiplantae, Streptophyta, Magnoliopsida, Poales, Poaceae.
UCAAAUGUUAUGUUGUUUUAUUUUCAUAUUUUUCAUACAUGUACACAUUACAUACUAUAUCAGGUAAUACACAAACUGAUUGGGGGAUGCGCAUUGUCUGAUAUUAUCAUGUUGUGCUGACUAGCAAAUGCCCUUCCUGUUCACGUUUCAGGCACCUCUCUUAAUUGAUUAUGAUGUCAGACUUCAGAAACAAUGGAAAUAGUGAGAAACAAAGAAGUAUUUCAAGCAAACCAAUGGAUUCUAUUGUUACCAUUCCAUUCUCUCGAAGUUUAUGAAUGGCAUCAAAACUGACCUUCCUUGGUGGCGCAAUACUUCCAUGCAUCGUUGUCAUAUUUAAUUGGCCUUCUGAAAUCACUUUGCACAAACUAAUAUUCUCUAGGACUUCAAGGAAGAAUAUUGAGUCAAGAAAAAGGUGGAUGUCGUGAGGUCUGACUAGACCCUUCUCUGGCAAUCGGUUUGUUGUACUGUAUGAAAUGGUUACUCAGAGACCGUUAAUAUCACGAUGAUAUUGCCAGAUGUAGGCCUUGAUGGUUCAAUUGCUUAUUCUGUUAGAGACAUGUGGAAG